GAGAUGGAAGGAGUGCCAGCGCCAUUGUCAAUAUGUCAGAGUCUGAAGCUACAUGUAGACAUUAUUCAGUGGGACCUUCUUGGGAUAGCAUACAUGCUACGAAUUUCACAGUGCCUGGAAAAAUUAGUCAUAUGCCUGACUGGCCUCCCCCUAUCAAUGUAUAGUCUUGACGAAGAAUCGAAAGAAAGUUUUAACUAUGAUGAAGAAGAUUUUUGUGUUCACGAAAGGGAAAUUUCAAUGCUUGGCGAAACAUCUCAAGAGAGUUGAGAUCACCAUUGAUAAUUUUGGGUUGGAACGUCUGCUUGCCCUGAUUAAGUUUCUUCUUGGUGAUGCACUUGCGCUGGAGAAGAUGAUUAUCAAGGCUAAUUUGAACAUGGGACAUGGACAAGAACAUGUUCGAGCCACUAUUCUUUCGAAACUACUUGUUGUGAGCCAAAAUAUGCUCAGCUAUCGAAGAGCUUCCAGAAAUGCUGAAGUUAUCUUCAGCCACUCUUUCAAAUAGAUGUCCUUCUUAAAGCAUAUGAAAAUCUGGGUUUCUUGUUAAUCUAAUGGCAGGCGUAUUUUGCCUUGGCACUACACUACUCAUUCUUAUCUACAUUGUCAGGUUUUAACAUGUACCUAAUCGACACUUCUGUCAAGUUUAGUAUAGUUGUAAGUAUGAACCUCCUUAAGGAAUGAUAUUAAUGGUAGUGUUUUUGAUUAUCAGCA
Eucalyptus grandis is the source of this 708-nucleotide RNA transcript. RefSeq lists it as uncharacterized. The transcript is spliced from 2 exons. The record is from RefSeq and is a predicted model, not a curated record. NCBI's taxonomy places the organism in Eukaryota, Viridiplantae, Streptophyta, Magnoliopsida, Myrtales, Myrtaceae.